GGCGAACGGGUGAGUAACACGUGGGCAAUCUGCCCUUCACUCUGGGACAAGCCCUGGAAACGGGGUCUAAUACCGGAUACGACCUGGGAAGGCAUCUUCUCGGGUGGAAAGCUCCGGCGGUGAAGGAUGAGCCCGCGGCCUAUCAGCUUGUUGGUGGGGUAAUGGCCUACCAAGGCGACGACGGGUAGCCGGCCUGAGAGGGCGACCGGCCACACUGGGACUGAGACACGGCCCAGACUCCUACGGGAGGCAGCAGUGGGGAAUAUUGCACAAUGGGCGAAAGCCUGAUGCAGCGACGCCGCGUGAGGGAUGACGGCCUUCGGGUUGUAAACCUCUUUCAGCAGGGAAAAAACGAAAGUGACGGUACCUGCAAAAAAAGCGCCGGCUAACUACGUGCCAGCAGCCGCGGUAAUACGUAGGCGCAAGCGUUGUCCGGAAUUAUUGGGCGUAAAAACUCUUAAGCGGCUUGCCCCCUCCAAUGUAAAACCCGGGGCUUACC
RNAcentral lists this ribosomal RNA (499 nucleotides) under Streptomyces sp. BP-1. RNAcentral describes it as "bacterial SSU rRNA". It matches the Rfam family "Bacterial small subunit ribosomal RNA", at positions 97 to 613 of the family's 1533-position model. Lineage: Bacteria; Bacillati; Actinomycetota; Actinomycetes; Kitasatosporales; Streptomycetaceae. The record is from RNAcentral.